GGAUGGGUUAUCUUUGCUGAGUAUGCAAAAGCAAGACCACUACCUCCCUCAAUGCAGAACAGUAAUACUAUAACUGGAUAUGCCAAUUACAAGUCACCAACAUCAGGGGCGGAGCUACAGGGUGCGAGGGGUGGCAACCGAACCCCCUUCGUCGGAAAAUUGCACUAAAUAUAUAUGGUGAAUUUUUUUAUUCAUGUAUAAAUAUUAUUUUUGCAUCCCCUUAACAAAUGGAGAUUCCGGAUCAGUGGAUGAGGCGCCUGUGAUUGAGCCCACGGUCGCGGGUUCGAUUCUCGGCAAUGACACAUUUUUUAACAUUUUUCAUCCAGUCCCUUUAAAAAAAAAAAAGAUUAACAAAAACGACGUCGUUUGCUGGACUCUAUUUUUUUUUUUAAAGCAACCACUAAGGAAACUUAGUGGAGGGAUAUUAUUAAAAUAUAAUAGUCAACAAAAGUAAAAACCAAGACAAAAGCAAAAGAAUAGCUGGAAUAAAUCCAGCCCAAAUGAAAUUCAGCAAAAACAACUAGAAACGUUAGCCAUUGGGGAUAAAAAGAAUCCCUAAUUUCAAAAGUGUUAACAUUGUUCUUCACUUCUUUGUCAGCUCAAUUGUGUUGCUGCCUUCGCCCAUGGCUUCCAAUUCCAAGUCUCAAAAGUCAGUGAAGAAUUAUUUUACCAAAGUUCCAAAAUCAAGUUUGGACUCUCAUGAUCAACCUAAUCUAGAAGAAAAUGUCAACCACUCAGAAGUACCAUUGCUUUCUUCUCAGGAAUUUGAUUUGAAUUCUUUAAAGCAUGAUCCGGGUGAAAGAACUCAAAUCUUGGACUUUCAUCCAAAUCAUCGUGAUGUCAUUCGAAGAGAAUACCUUAGGAGAGGUCCUUGUCAACCUCGGCUUAAAGAGUAUCCUAAAACAAAUGAAUAAGAGUUAUUUUAGUGGUUGCUUGGUGCCUUAUGUAGAAAAAGAUGUGUUUAAUAGGAUCUCUAAUGAUGUUAUUAUAAAAACAUUUCAAGGAAUGAAACCUCGUCGUGUACAGUUGUAGUAAUAUACUUGCACUUUCAAUAGAGAAUUGUGUUUGUUUUGAUU
Molecule: long non-coding RNA, 1076 nt
Organism: Lycium barbarum (goji berry)
Lineage: Eukaryota; Viridiplantae; Streptophyta; Magnoliopsida; Solanales; Solanaceae
Exons: 2
Source: RefSeq, a predicted model, not a curated record